GCCAACAACCAUACCACAUUAUUUAAUACACCAGUUCUCGUCCGAUCACUGAAGUUAAGCAACGUCGGGCGUAGUUAGUACUACUUGGAUGGGUGACCGCUUGGAAACACUAUUUGCCGUUGGUU
RNAcentral lists this ribosomal RNA (125 nucleotides) under Acyrthosiphon pisum (pea aphid). Lineage: Eukaryota; Metazoa; Arthropoda; Insecta; Hemiptera; Aphididae. The record is from RNAcentral.